This 197-nucleotide ribosomal RNA is filed under the name uncultured bacterium. RNAcentral describes it as "partial 16S ribosomal RNA". It matches the Rfam family "Bacterial small subunit ribosomal RNA", at positions 328 to 539 of the family's 1533-position model. The record is from RNAcentral.
ACGCUCGACACCUACUGGAGGCAGCAGUGGGGAAUAUUGCACAAUGGGGGAAACCCUGAUGCAGCGACGCCGCGUGAGCGAAGAAGUAUUUCGGUAUGUAAAGCUCUAUCAGCAGGGAAGAAACUGACGGUACCUGACUAAGAAGCACCGGCUAAAUACGUGCCACAGCCGCGGUAAUCUGAGCGGGCUGGCAAGGC